UGAAUACGAGAUGCUACGGCGUCGAAGCAGUCUAUGUCAUACUUCCAAGAAAAGCUUGCACUGUCAUAAACAAAUAAUGCCUGUACCAUAACCGACACAGGUGGGUAGGUAGAGUAUACUAAGGGGCGCGAGAUAACUCUCUCUAAGGAACUCGGCAAAAUGACUCCGUAACUUCGGGAGAAGGAGUGCCUUAUUUAUAUGUUGCAAUAACAAGAUCCAAGCAACUGUUUACCAAAAACACAGGUCUCCGCUAAGUCGUAAGACGAUGUAUGGGGGCUGACGCCUGCCCAGUGCCAGAAGGUUAAAGAAGUUGGUUAGCAUCCGCGAAGCUGAUAACUGAAGCCCUGGUGAACGGCGGCCGUAACGAUAACGGUCCUAAGGUAGCGAAAUUCCUUGUCGGGUAAGUUCCGACCCGCACGAAAGGCGUAAUGAUUUGGAUACUGUCUCGGAGAGGGGCUCGGUGAAAUAGACUUGUCUGUGAAGAUGCGGACUACCUGCACCAGGACAGAAAGACCCUAUGAAGCUUUACUGUAACCUGAAAUUGAAAUUGGACUUUACUUGCGCAGUAUAGGUGGGAGGCGUUGAGAAUAUUCUUGCGGGAUUAUUGGAGCCAUCAGUGAGAUACCACUCUUGUAAUGUUAGAUUUCUAACUUUGUAUCAUUAUCUGGUCAAAGAACAGUUUCAGGCGGGCAGUUUGACUGGGGCGGUCGCCUCCUAAACGGUAACGGAGGCGCACAAAGGUUUCCUCUGAACGGGUAGAAAUCGUAUCUAGAGUGUAAAGGCAUAAGGAAGCUUGACUGUGAGACCUACAAGUCGAGCAGGGACGAAAGUCGGUCUUAGUGAUCUGACGGUGCUGAGUGGAAAGGCCGUCACUCAACGGAUAAAAGUUACUCUAAGGAUAACAGGCUGAUCUCCCCCAAGAGUUCACAUCGACGGGGAGGUUUGGCACCUCGAUGUCGGCUCAUCGCAUCCUGGGGCGGUAGUACGUCCCAAGGGUUGGGCUGUUCGCCCAUGAAAGCGGUACGCGAGCUGGGUUCAGAACGUCGUGAGACAGUUCGGUCCAUAUCCGGUGUAGGCGUUAGAAUAUUGAGAGGAGCCUUCUUUAGUACGAGAGGACCGAGAAGGACAUACCUCUGGUGUACCAGUUAUCGUGCCAACGGUAAACGCUGGGUAGCUAUGUGUGGAGUGGAUAACCGCUGAAAGCAUCUAAGUGGGAAGCCCACCUCAAGAUAAGUAUUCUC
RNAcentral lists this ribosomal RNA (1241 nucleotides) under metagenome. RNAcentral describes it as "bacterial LSU rRNA". It matches the Rfam family "Bacterial large subunit ribosomal RNA", at positions 1564 to 2815 of the family's 2925-position model. The record is from RNAcentral.